This 218-nucleotide unclassified non-coding RNA is filed under the name Hevea brasiliensis (rubber tree). Lineage: Eukaryota; Viridiplantae; Streptophyta; Magnoliopsida; Malpighiales; Euphorbiaceae. The record is from RNAcentral.
GUUGGCAAAAGUUUUCAGGUUUCAUUUUGUUGAUCUGUAAGAAGAAGAGAGGAGCAUAAUAAUCCACGAGUAUGGCGCACUCCUUCUUGUAAAAUCGCAUCUUCGAACAAGAUUUGUGAAGACGGUCAAUGAUCUCUGUUUGGGUCUUGUUAUUAGCCAUGUAAUUAAGUGCCUUGGCGGUAUAUUCUUCACACAAUGUGCACAAUUGUUCACUUCCA